GGGGAUUUAGCUCAGCGGCAUAGCGCCUGCCUCAAAAGCAGGGAGUCGUGAAUUCGAUCCCUG
This 63-nucleotide transfer RNA is filed under the name Cavia porcellus (domestic guinea pig). It matches the Rfam family "tRNA". From Rfam's summary of the family: Transfer RNA (tRNA) molecules are approximately 80 nucleotides in length. Their secondary structure includes four short double-helical elements and three loops (D, anti-codon, and T loops). The record is from Rfam by way of RNAcentral. Lineage: Eukaryota; Metazoa; Chordata; Mammalia; Rodentia; Caviidae.